GGCCUGGUAGCUCAGCGGUCCAGAGCAGUCGACUCAUAAUCGAUUGGUCCUCGGUUCGAAUCCGAGCCAGGCCA
Molecule: transfer RNA, 74 nt
Filed under: Phycisphaerae bacterium
Lineage: Bacteria; Pseudomonadati; Planctomycetota; Phycisphaerae
Description: tRNA-Met
Rfam family: tRNA
About the family: Transfer RNA (tRNA) molecules are approximately 80 nucleotides in length.
Source: RNAcentral